Molecule: ribosomal RNA, 251 nt
Filed under: uncultured bacterium
Lineage: Bacteria
Description: partial 16S ribosomal RNA
Rfam family: Bacterial small subunit ribosomal RNA
Source: RNAcentral
AGCCUGUGAAGGGGAGGCAAAUCCCAAAAAUAAACGUCCCAGUUCGGAUUGUAGUCUGCAACCCGACUACAUGAAGCUGGAAUCGCUAGUAAUCGCGGAUCAGAAUGCCGCGGUGAAUACGUUCCCGGGUCUUGUACACACCGCCCGUCACACCAUGGGAGUCGGAAAUGCCCGAAGUCAGCGGCCCAACCGAAAGGAGGGAGCUGCCGAAGGCAGGCCUGGUGACUGGGGUGAAGUCGUAACAAGGUAAC